Populus euphratica (Euphrates poplar) is the source of this 9620-nucleotide long non-coding RNA. RefSeq lists it as uncharacterized. The record is from RefSeq and is a predicted model, not a curated record. The transcript has 2 exons. Lineage: Eukaryota; Viridiplantae; Streptophyta; Magnoliopsida; Malpighiales; Salicaceae.
AUUCCCAUGGCUUGCAGGUGACGACGACGUCGAGUUGGCGGCGGAGAAAGACUCGGCAUUCAGGCGAGCCGCCCGGUGGUGUGGUACGUAGUGGGUUUAGUACGCCCCGCCAAAACGGCUCCGAAAGAAAGAAAAAGGUGCGUGCCGCACUCACGAGGGACUGCCAGUGAUAUACUGGAGGAAGGUGGGGAUGACGUCAAGUCCGCAUGGCCCUUAUGGGCUGGGCCACACACGUGCUACAAUGGCAAUUACAAUGGGAAGCAAGGCUGUAAGGCGGAGCGAAUCCGGAAAGAUUGCCUCAGUUCGGAUUGUUCUCUGCAACUCGGGAACAUGAAGUUGGAAUCGCUAGUAAUCGCGGAUCAGCAUGCCGCGGUGAAUAUGUACCCGGGCCCUGUACACACCGCCCGUCACACCCUGGGAAUUGGUUUCGCCCAAAGCAUCGGACCAAUGAUCACCCAUGACUUCUGUGUACCACUAGUGCUACAAAGGCUUUUGGUGGUCUUAUUGGCGCAUACCACGGUGGGGUCUUCGACUGGGGUGAAGUCGUAACAAGGUAGCCGUAGGGGAACCUGUGGCUGGAUUGAAUCUGAAUCCUUUGGAAAAUCCCUCUUCCCCCAACCAACUAAGGGCAAGCACCUACUCCUAACAAAAUGAAAAGCAGCGAGCUCCGCAACAAAAGCGAAGCGAGCCGCGCUAGUAGCGUGUUUUUCAGCUUUCUUCAAAUCAUGACUAAUUAGGGGCGUCAGCCUAAACCUAACCUAAGUUGGGAAAAGCCCGGUGCUUUCUAAAAGCCUAAAUACAAUCAAACGUGAGCGCUAACAAGCAAGCAAGAAAACGGAUGCGCUAAGGUAGCUUGCUCUUUUCUAUGAAAAGGAGCAACGGCUUUCGCGCAAGUUGCAACAUCCGUUUCUUGUUGCUUUCGAGCCCAAGCCUACGCUUGCUUAGUAAGUAAGCUUGAGCUGCGCGAAAGGUUGCUUUUCUAAGAUAAGAAAUACAAGGCGCGUUAGCCUAUCUAUAGUGACGGGCCUUUUCUUGCUGGGCUUGAAUGCUUACCUUAUUAUUUUGAAAAGGGGAAAGAAAGGGGCAACCAGGAGGCUAGCUUGCUUCCACUGGCGGCGGGCGGGCGAAGGGUCAAGAGGACACGUAGCCGGGGGCGAGUCACAAAAUCCAAUAGUUCCAUUUUCCUUCUUGUUCAUCAAUCGGGAAACAAGACAAACCGGGCACUACGGUAAGACGUGAAAACACCCGAUCCCAUUCCGACCUCGAUAUGUGGAAUCGUCUUGCGCCAUAUGUACUGAGAUUGUUCGGGAGACAUGGUACAAGCCCGGGGUGAGGGUCUUGUCUUUGCUAAGAGAUGUUAGAAGGUGCAAGAAGUCGAGCCUUAUACCAUACCAUACCGCUCAUCUCUUGAAAAAAGAUCGCUAGCCUGACGUGACGGGCUUUAGCGAACAAGCAGGUCAAACCGGUUCUUAUUAGAAUCUCGUUGAUUGGGACGCUUAUCGUGAGUGGCAAAUCGGCCAUAGUGAAAGACUAGGUUUAGUUCGGCUUUCAACAUGCCAUUUAGCUACAUGGACGAAAACGGAUUCCCUGAAUAGGCCUUCUCUCGCACUAUUAUAGCUAAUAGUAAAAAUCUAAGAAUGAGACAUCGCGAAGGAGAACCAACAUCGUAUACGCUAAAGACAGCGAUUGACAUAGAAUAAUCCACCUUGUGAUCGGUUCGCAACUAUAGUGUGGAAGGUUAUCAGAAAGCCCUUACAAGAAUGCCACAUUAGGGUAGGGCCCUCUCUAAAUCUCAGAUCGGAUAAUCCGGUCUAGGUUGACCAAUUGAAAGAAGGGCUUUUUCUUACAAAUCUUAAACGGUUAGUUACAACAUUCCUUCAAAGGCCACCCGUCAGGGACGGAAUCACCAACCCCAUUGACAGGACUGCAUCAUGGCUCUAUUCCAUGCUAGUCUGACGGUUCCGGGCGUGGAAUCCGCUCUGUGACCCAUCAACAGAUCAGUGGGCUCCGCCAGCCUCCGACAAGUGGGUAAUUGGAAUUCGUAGCGUGAACCCAGGUUAGGAAUGCACCUCCCUCCCCUCCCAUAUCGGCCCCUACCUCUACCUAUAGGUUAGGUAGGACUUUUUGAUCUCUGCUUUGUGUCUUUCUUCACAUCAUUAACGUCGGUUCCGAACUUGCCCAUCGAGUGCCGCUAGUCUCCAUUACGCAACUGCACCAGGACCAGUUAUAGGUUUGGGUCAACAAUCUUAAUGAACCAAAGCGGGUUCGGGCUAACGUGAUUUGUCGGCUGGGUCAGGGAUGGAACAUGAAAUAGGGGUGAAGAUCGGCUCUUUUAGACCGGAUUCUGAUAUUGAAUGGCCUUUUUCUAGGGUUAGGUACUAGAGCCAUAGCCAUUGAUUCGCGCCCUUUUGUACUGGAAAAUUUCUCUUUUCAGAAAAGAUCUUUGCUAUGAAUUAAAAGUAUGGAAAGAAGAUUCUUCCAUUUUCUCUCUAGGAAUAGGAUAAUCUCAUAUUCAUCGAAUCCAAGGCAAAUUCUUUCUCCCGCGGUCGAAGAGAAUCUCUUCGACUAUUUCCGGCUAGUACUAUCGGGAACGCACACUCCUAAGCGUCGACUUCGGGCUUCACCUAAGUCCUUCUAGCUUCGCUUAGCAAGUCAAGUUAGACUCGUGAGGUCAGUGCCCAAGUCGCUAUAGAGUAUAGGACUUAUGUAGAUAUAAGAUAAUCCAUCCUUUUAGGAUGGGCUGACGGUUCCGUACUCCCUUCACUCUUUUAGUUUAGGGUGGGGAAGACUUCGUACCUUCCUUUACGUAGGCUAAGCUAGCGGAUCAGAGAGAGAAGCCUGAGUUCCAGCUCUUGGAAAAAGUUCAGUAAAGUCAGUAGAGCUAGUCCUUUUAUUUAUUUAAAAUAGCUAUUCUGAUCUAUCAAUUUAUAAGUAGUCAUUUAUAUAAAGCCAGGUACGAAUGGAGCUUAGUUGUUUUUCAUGCUUUCUUGCUAACCAUUGAUCAUUUAUGGUUGAAAUCGCAAACUCUUUAGAGUUUGGGAGAGAGACCUCCUACCUUUCCAAGUCAAGAUAGGGAAGUAAAGUAGAGUGGAGAAUCAUCCGAUACCGCUGCCUUCAUCCCAGCGCUGUCCUAAUAGCGAUAUGCUUAAGAGAGGGAAGUCGUGUUCGUAAACUCACCCUUACUUUUGGAACUUUAGUCUCUUUACCUUUCCCAGCUUAGAGGCAUGUAGCGAAGACUUAGUGACUCCCCAAGGCAUGAGUCAAAGAAAAUGCUAUAUGUAUCUAAUGCAAGACCCAUCGAUAAGCUAAGGCUACGACAUGAAGAAAGGCCAGAAGAACUACAGAACCACGCCCACCAGAGCUAAAGAAAGAUAGACCGAAGGGACUUGCGGUAAGCCGCCAUUUUGUGUACGUACCGUCCCUUCGCAGUUUCGGUGAGGAGGGAGGUGGUUACUAUUAUGCCUAGCGAAAAUAAGCCGGGCAGGAUUUGAAAGAAGACCUAAAAUAAAAAGCCUGCGUCUUCAAGUCACUCUUACAUAUACUUAUCAUACGAAUAAGAGAAGAGCACCUACACCUACGACUAAGAAGACAACAAGUUCAUCAUCAACCGGAAGACAGACACGAAAGAGACAGAGAUUAGUGAGCGGAGGUGAUAGACCCAAGAAAAAGAGGAGAGGCGGAGGGCAUACUCGAGAUCAGUGACUAUAGACCAGAAGCCACUAACUAUGGUUAUUAGUUGCCGAAGCUGAAGGCUCUGAAAGAGGCGACCAACGAAAAAGUGUACCAUUAGCUUCUUCUCUUCUGUCUGUUCUUCCUGCCUUUGACUACGAACCCAACAAAAAGUCAAGUGCAAGAACCAGAGCAGGAUUUCAAACCAGUUUCAGUUUUCCAGGCUCGACCUAUGGGUAAGAGCGUAGUCUACAAAGCGAAAGGUACUACGUUCCUCUCCUUUCAGUCGAUCGUACUUUGGUCGUUCAUCUGAUCUGUUUAAUGAAUAUCUCUUUCUUUCUUCUCCGGGGAGUAAGCAAAGCAUUCUGUCUUAGGAGAACCCUUACCCUUAGGCUGAGUAAGAAGUCUUGCCUUAGUAAGUGACGGUCUGGUAAGCAUGGGCAAGCCUGAGAUGCCUGUGUUUGCUUUCCAUAGAAAAUAUGCCUUCGGCUUGUGCUUUGGAGAGUCUGUCUCUUGUUUAGUACCCCCGAACUCCCUUUUCUUUUCACAUUCUCUUUGAUAGUUAGAAAAGAAAAAGCACGAGAAGGAAGAGAAGAAAAGUCAAAGUUGUAGGCCCUUUUUAAACAAAGAUUCAGCCGUGGUCUCGAAGAUGGCGCCCUUUCGUGGUCUCUUUUUCUAUUCUUUUUUUUUUUUCAAGCCGCAAUUGAAAUCCAUUUUCUUUCUAGUAAGCUAGGGCUUAGUAAGCAAAUCAAAGGAGUCGUCAAGCUGGGGCAAGUCAAGUUAGUUUUUAGCAGUCUCGUGAAGCAGUCUCAGCGAGGCGCUAGGUAAAAGGCAGCUAGGGCGUGAGUUUAGUUUCUUAGCACAGACAGAAAAGGUUAGGGCAGCUGGGGAAUUAGUUGAAGUUCAAGCAUCUCUUGUUUGUAAAAGGAUAAUCUCUUCCAGUCUAUCCAAUUGCAUAAGGACAUCCGGUUCUGGCAUCGAAUGGCUCUUUCUUUUUGGCUCUUCCAACUUUAGAGUUUCCUAAUUUAAGAAGUCCCUAAUCUAUUCUAUCAGUACUACUAGCGAGCUAACAUGCUAACAGUAGUUAAAAACUGGUCUUUCUCCAGCUCCCCUUUUUACCUAGCAUAAUAACUAACAGGCUUAGAAGACUAGCAGUUCUACUAAUAGGAUAAGAGUGAGUUGGAAAAGGCUAUUCUUCUCAUUCCUUCCCUUGAUCUGACAGUGCAGAGUAAGAAGGGCCUAAAGAACAUUACCAGUAAUCCGAGGCAAGCGCAUAAGAGAGCUAGCUUGUAUAAGAGUCAUAAGAGGACUAAGAAUAAGAAAGGUCCAACUCGUACUAAGGCUAUCGGUACUACUCUUCCAAAUUUCCUAACGUGGAAAAGGUAUCUACUAUGUUUACCCUUUCUAACAGAAAGACCAGCUCUCCCCUUAGUCUAAAUAGCUAGAUAAUCUCCCAGCCUUUAGUCAGGGGCAAGCUAGUUCUUUAGCAAAAUCAGUAGUCUUUCAAGCAAAGAGGGAUAGGAACUAGUUUGAGGUAUAGGUUCUCCCCGUGCUGGUACUAGAAAAAGUACUAGUGUAAAGUAGUAGGUUUGGUUACAGGAAUAAGGUAGGUUGGUUAUAGGAAACACUCUCUAGUAGUGGAGUUUCAAGCUCCUGUUUGUUUCGUUGCCUACCCUUAGGUAGUGCUUGAGCCUUAGUAUCGGGUUCUCCUUCCCGGCACUGGAUCAGUCACUAAGCGAAUGUGCAACUAUCAAACCAUCUGUUUUUCUAUUCGGUCUGUCUUCAGCAGGCCAACUAAUCUAAACUACUAAUCUACAAAACAACUAUUAGAAAAGAAGUUCCUCCCCGCUUCCAUAGCACAUAGCUAUUGAUCUCCUUACCCCAACCAGGUGCUACUCCGAUCUCGCCGCCAGUAAUGCUCGAUUCCCACCUCCCGCCUCUCCAUCCUAGCUUCAGAAAGAAUCUCACCCUUCUGCUGUCCCUGCCUCCAGCUCCAGGAACUCCUGCACCGUUCUGCGCCUUUUUGAAUGAAGCGCCUAGUUUCACCGCUUUCUUCUUACCCACGCGAGAUUGGUAUUCAGUCUGCCAAAACGAAACUAAAAAAGGGGUCUUUCUAAUUUCGUAUAUAAAUGUAAAUGUGGGUUGUCGGGUUUGGAUCGAAAUAGAAUCCCCAAAAACUGGGGCAUCCGUUUUCUACUUGUUCUGCUUCGAUAGAGGGGCUGUAAGUAGAAUAAGAAUCGUUCGCUCUUAUCCUUCCUUCGCUGCAGAUGGCGGAGCUACCACACGUUGAUUGGUGGAUUGAAUGAGAUUGAUGGGCACUAGCACAAGAGCCAUAGAUAAAUAGACAAAGAAGUUCAGCUGCCAGAGUCGAUCCUAUCCCGUAUUUACCAGCAAAAAAAUAGGGGAGUCAUCUGUCUAACGAGAAAGGAGGGGCGUCUAUCCUUCUAUAUGACCAAAAAGGCCUUGUCACGAACUGGGCUCGAACCAGCGCUUUCCAGAAACAUGGUCUGGAUGUCAACCUUUCUGAUCGUGACUUUGGUUACCCGGUUCCUCACGCUGCCCAUGAGUACGUCCGGGGGGAUUUCUCAUCAUCUUUUUUUCCCGUUUCACUCACUUCUUUUUCUUCCAAUUCAGAGAAGACUGAAGUGAAGAUUAGAAUACGAAUAAGAUAAAAAAGGCCAUCACCAAAAACCAGACGAUGGUAUAAAAAGUCAUGUAGAUGAUGGGGGAUCCCGGCGUAUUACGUCAUGGAUCCAGUGAGCGUUCAUGUCAGCAGAGUUCCACGCCUCGUUAGACAUAUAUUUCCGUAAAAAGCGGAGCAAGCCCCGGAUCCGCAUUUGCGGAUAUUAUAGGAAAACUCAUCUUCGGGCUCCCAAGAAAUGAAAAUGAGUUCUGCCCCGUACUUACCACAGAACCCCAUGCCACUACAAUAGCGCAAACAAUUUUAGAAGCUUCUCCAGAGCCUUACGAAUGUCUUUCCGAAGACGCACCUUUUCUGGGUCAUCGUCCUCCGGAGCACCAGACUGGGCGGGCCCUGGCCCGCGUGAAGUGGAGGCACCGUGCCAACCAUGUUUCCUUUCUGAAAUUUUUAUUUUUCAGUAAAAAGAUUAUUAAAAUAAUACCAAAUAAAAUGAAAAAACAAUCGGCAUGGUUCUGGGUGUAAAGCAGCUCGAUACGGAUAGUAGUAUCCAUUCUAGAUUGAAAAAACAAAGUAGGCAUCGCUCUUGACCUUGUCCUCUCCCCUUAUGCCCUAUCACUAGUGAUUACUCCCAAUCCAAAGCACCCCUUUUCCAUUCAUAGAGAAAUCCAAUCGUCAAAAUCAAUAAAAAGGCCAUCAUGGACCAAAAUCCAAACAGAUCAAUCUUGUUGAGAGAGACUGCCCAAGGAAAGAAAAAGGUUACUUCCAGAUCAAAGAUAAUAAAUAAAAUGGAAACAAGAUAAAAUCGUAUAUCGAAACGACUUCUGGCAUCACCGAAAGGGUCGAAACCACAUUCGUAGGCCGACAAUUUUUCUGGAUAGGUCGAACUAGGGGAAGCAAAUAGAAAAGGAAGACCGAGUAAGAUCAAAGAAACUAGCAGACUGAUCACUAAAUAGAUACAAAUAGGUGCAAAUUCUAACAUCACCACAGCCCACUGGGUUCAUUCGCUCUGCUCGUGGAGCGGAAUACCGGAAAAAAAAGAAAAAUCAUGAAAUAGGAAUUGCCUACCCGCUUUCCUUUCGGUCAGCUGCCCCGUGACCAACCUCACAGGUCCCACUCAAUCUUUUACACCGAUGUAUCGUACUCCCUCGACCAGGUCAUCAUAAGAAAGCAAAAUCUUUCCGAAAUGAGAGAAGGAGGGAAGGCGGGCUACAACUAACAUAAUAGCCAGCUGAGCUGAAAAAGGCUAGCUAGCUAGGCUAGCGCGCAAUGGCUUUCUCUGAUAGGGGCUCGCUUCUUCGACGCUCCGAACAACCUAUACGACGGCUCGCUUUCUCUCAGCCACAAGUGGCUUAAGUAGUGGUCGGCAUUCCUACGUGCUCCUCCGCCCCCCUACUUUUUAAUCCAAAAGGUGCCUUUGAAUGUUGUCGUGACGCUUUGGUUACGAAGGUUACGGGGGUCUGGGUUUAUGGAUGAAUUCAGUCAGCGAAAGUCCCUCAAACUCAAUCAAUAUCAACAACAUGUCGUGACGCUUGGUUGAUUUUGUCAGAAAAGUAGGUUUCGGGGGUUCAUUGAUUAGUACACCUCUGGUGCUGGUAAGGUCGGGAUCGUGGUCGUCCAUCUCCAGUUUGCCGGCCGAUAAGAUCUCUGAGAUUGACCAGACAGCUGACUUGGUUUGGCUAUUCCUUUCUAUUGAAAAAGAGUCAGCUGUCUGCGCGAGUCACCUUCUUCUAGGCUCCGCUGGACGACACGGCAUUCUCGUUCAAAUAUAGGCCGGCCGUCCUUGUGAUGGUUCCCAAGGAUCCAAUAUGAUACCACUUAGGUCUACGUUGCCACGAUAUUGUUCUAUGUAAGCGGGCGGGCUUGUUAGAAGUUCGGCCCGGUUUUUUUUGGUGUCGUAGGGGAGGGAUUGACCUUUCUAACGCAUAUUCAGUCGUACCGGCAUGGCCCCAUUGAUUUGUUUUCGAUCGGAGCAUAAAGCAGCGCAACCCGGUUCUACUUGACUAAGCCUCGUGCUCGUCCAAGGAGGGAGUUUGCUUUACCCAACUCCCUUUUUGAUAAUAAGGCAGAAACCCCCGACCGGACAUUCAUUAGUUUCGAAUGAAGAAUGAGGAGUGCCCUGCCCCAGAUAGCACCUACUCCUAACAAAAUGAAAAGCGUGACUUUACUAAACAAGCAAGAAUAGAAAGGGCUUUUCUCGCUUGUUGCUUUCUUCGAAUCGCAUGCUUGAGCGCAAGAAUACAUAUAAAAGCUUUCCUUGAGUUUUCAAUAAAAUAAGGGGCGCCCCAUCUAUAGUGACGGGGCCUCUUUCAAUAAAGCUCGCGCUAGGCGCUCUUUUUGGCUUCCCUUAAAUCGAAUAUUUUAGAAAUUGGUAAAGACCCACCCCUUGUUUCAGUCAGAAUGAGUCCCCGGGACCCCGGGACAUUGGCUUCCGCCAACAGUGGACUAUUAAGGAUCGCAUCCCGCGCAUAUUCUACAUUAUAGCCUGCAACUGAUUCAGCUUCCGCUUCUGGGAGAUCAAACGGAGCUCGAUUAGUUUCUGCUAGACAAGAAAUGAAGAACAUAACCAAUACAGGGAACAAGGGAAUACCAGACCAUAUCUGCUUUUGCGCCAUGACAAUCUCACUCGAAUUACGGGGACCCACACAUAUUAGUACAGUAAUAAGAAUAAGACCAAUAGAGACUUCAUAAGAGACCAUUUGAGCUGCAGAUCGUAAUGCUCCUAGAAAGGCAUAUUUCGAAUAUAGAGGAGUGAAAGUUCCCAACAAUCAACUAUCAUACCCUUCUAUGAACCGUACGAGCACGUCCUCUGAAACCCCCCAUCGCGCUUACGGCUCUAUACCCCAACGUGACUUGCUCUGGCCCCGGCCCGCUCCGCACCUCGGUAAGCGGACCGUGGGAGCAUGGGGGGCGGUAUCCGCUUUUGACUGAUAUAAAAUCUCUCUUUUGUCUCUUGCCAAAAAAAUCACAAUAGAAAAAGUUGUUCUUGCCGAGAAAGUCGCGUCGGAGACAUCUUUAUCUGAGGUUGGGUCCCCCUGCGUCGACCGGCUCCUCAGAUAAAGAUGUUAGGAUUGGCCGGCUCAUCUUCGGAAUCCGAAAAUAAAACAGAGACAGAACAGAUUGUUUCAGUGACAUAUAUACGAAGAUCUUUUUCCCCUGUUUGAGGCCUCGUACGAAUCAGUUACAUGGAAUCAUGCAAAGAGGCUUGAAAGCCGGUGAACUUGACUUAUCUUAUGCGUCAUUUUCAACUGAUCAUUCCUACCGAUCCAUUCUAUUCCUUGGCUCAUCAUAAGGAUAGCUACUUAUAAGAUAA